This 414-nucleotide ribosomal RNA is filed under the name uncultured microorganism. RNAcentral describes it as "bacterial SSU rRNA". It matches the Rfam family "Archaeal small subunit ribosomal RNA", at positions 459 to 872 of the family's 1478-position model. The record is from RNAcentral.
CAGCCGCCGCGGUAAUACCGGCGGCCCGAGUGGCGGUCACUAUUAUUGGGCUUAAAGCGUCCGUAGCCGGGUUGGGAAGUCCUCCGGGAAAUCUGGCCGCUUAACGGUCAGAAUGCCGGAGGAUACUCCCAGCCUAGGGAGCGGGGGAGGCCGAGGGGAUUCCCGGAGUAGGGGUGAAAUCCUAUAAUCCCGGGAGGACCACCUGUGGCGAAGGCGCUCGGCUGGAACGCGUCCGACGGUGAGGGCCGAAGGCCAGGGGAGCAAACCGGAUUAGAUACCCGGGUAGUCCUGGCUGUAAACGAUGCGGACUUUGUGUCGGACAAGCUAUGAGCUUGUCCGGUGCCGGAGGGAAACCGUUAAGUCCGCCGCCUGGGGAGUACGGCCGCAAGGCUGAAACUUAAAGGAAUUGGCGGG